GAUGAACGCUGGCGGCGUGCUUAACACAUGCAAGUCGAACGGAAAGGCCCAAGCUUGCUUGGGUACUCGAGUGGCGAACGGGUGAGUAACACGUGGGUGAUCUGCCCUGCACUUCGGGAUAAGCCUGGGAAACUGGGUCUAAUACCGGAUAGGACCACAUUUUGGAUGGUGUGGUGGAAAGUUUUUCGGUGUGGGAUGAGCUCGCGGCCUAUCAGCUUGUUGGUGGGGUAAUGGCCUACCAAGGCGUCGACGGGUAGCCGGCCUGAGAGGGUGUACGGCCACAUUGGGACUGAGAUACGGCCCAGACUCCUACGGGAGGCAGCAGUGGGGAAGAUUGCACAAUGGGCGCAGGCCUGAUGCAGCGACGCCGCGUGGGGGAUGACGGCCUUCGGGUUGUAAACUCCUUUCGCUAGGGACGAAGCGUUAUGUGACGGUACCUGGAGAAGAAGCACCGGCUAACUACGUG
Molecule: ribosomal RNA, 466 nt
Filed under: uncultured bacterium
Lineage: Bacteria
Description: partial 16S ribosomal RNA
Rfam family: Bacterial small subunit ribosomal RNA
Source: RNAcentral